Molecule: ribosomal RNA, 216 nt
Filed under: Glomeromycotina sp.
Lineage: Eukaryota; Fungi; Glomeromycota
Description: partial small subunit ribosomal RNA
Rfam family: Eukaryotic small subunit ribosomal RNA (bases 40-216)
Source: RNAcentral
GGAUCAGUAGGUUGGUCGUGCCACCGGUACGUACUGGUCUCACUGAUUCCUCCUUCCUGAAGAGCCGUAAUGCCAUUAAUUUGGUGUUGCGGGGAAACAGGACUGUUACUUUGAAAAAAUUGGAGUGUUUAAAGCAAGCUAACGCUUGAAUACAUUAGCAUGGAAUAAUGAAAUAGGACGAUCGAUCCUAUUUUGUUGGUUUCUAGGAUUGACGUA